Molecule: ribosomal RNA, 459 nt
Filed under: uncultured bacterium
Lineage: Bacteria
Description: partial 16S ribosomal RNA
Rfam family: Bacterial small subunit ribosomal RNA
Source: RNAcentral
CCUACGGGUGGCAGCAGUGAGGAAUAUUGGUCAAUGGGCGCGAGCCUGAACCAGCCAAAUCGCGUGAGGGACGACGGUCCUAUGGAUUGUAAACCUCUUUUGUCGGGGAGCAAAAGACGCCACGCGUGGCGUUCCGAGAGUACCCGAAGAAAAAGCAUCGGCUAACUCCGUGCCAGCAGCCGCGGUAAUACGGAGGAUGCGAGCGUUAUCCGGAUUUAUUGGGUUUAAAGGGUGCGCAGGCGGAAGAUCAAGUCAGCGGUAAAAUUGAGAGGCUCAACCCCUUCGAGCCGUUGAAACUGGUUGUCUUGAGUGAGUGAGAAGUAUGCGGAAUGCGUGGUGUAGCGGUGAAAUGCAUAGAUAUCACGCAGAACUCCGAUUGCGAAGGCAGCAUACCGGCGCUCAACUGACGCUCAUGCACGAAAGUGUGGGUAUCGAACAGGAUUAGAUACCCUAGUAGUC